GAUGAACGCUAGCGGCAGGCUUAACACAUGCAAGUCGAGGGGCAGCAUGACACUUCGGUGUUGAUAUGACACUUCGGUGUUGAUGGCGACCGGCGCACGGGUGCGUAACGCGUAUAGAACCUACCCAUAACAGGGGGAUAGCCCAGAGAAAUUUGGAUUAAUACCCCAUGGUGUAUUAGUGAGGCAUCUCAUUUUUAUUAAAGAUUUAUCGGUUGUGGAUGGCUAUGCGUUCUAUUAGUUUGUUGGUGGGGUAACGGCUCACCAAGGCUUCGAUAGAUAGGGGUUCUGAGAGGAAUAUCCCCCACACUGGUACUGAGACACGGACCAGACUCCUACGGGAGGCAGCAGUGGGGAAUCUUCUGCAAUGGGCGCAAGCCUGACAGAGCGGCGUCAUGUGAAGGAAGAAGGCCUGAAAUAGGUUGUAAACUUCUUUUACUGAGUAAUGAAUACUGACAACGCAGUAAAAAAGUAUCGGCUAACUCCGUGCCAGCCGCCGCAGUAACAC
RNAcentral lists this ribosomal RNA (505 nucleotides) under uncultured bacterium. RNAcentral describes it as "bacterial SSU rRNA". It matches the Rfam family "Bacterial small subunit ribosomal RNA", at positions 28 to 526 of the family's 1533-position model. The record is from RNAcentral.